Non-coding RNA from Plectosphaerella cucumerina, 107 nucleotides. NCBI's taxonomy places the organism in Eukaryota, Fungi, Ascomycota, Sordariomycetes, Glomerellales, Plectosphaerellaceae. The record is from the annotation of a GenBank genome assembly.
GGCGAGAUGGCCGAGUGGUCUAAGGCGUUGGUCUCAAGACUUUCUUCUGCUCCAAGAGUAGUUAUCCAAUGGUGUAAACCGCAGGGGUUCGAAUCCCCUUCUCGUCA